This 5575-nucleotide long non-coding RNA is filed under the name Sarcophilus harrisii (Tasmanian devil). Its description in RNAcentral is "lncRNA (ENSSHAG00000028438.1)". The record is from RNAcentral. Lineage: Eukaryota; Metazoa; Chordata; Mammalia; Dasyuromorphia; Dasyuridae.
UGUCAACAAAAAGUGAAAAUUCAUCUUAGUUAUCAUCAUAGUAAUACAAGGGCUAGGAAACACAUUAAAACCUGGGGCAGCUAGAUGGCACAGUGGAUAGAGCACCAGUCCUGAAAUCAGGAGGACCUGAGUUCAAAUCUGACCUGAUACUAAACACUUCCUAGCUGUGUGACUGUGGAUAAGUCACUUCACCAUAAUUGCUGCAGGGGGAAAAAAACAAAACCAAAAACAAACAACCAACCACACAUUGAGACCUAAAAUCACAAAAUUCAUAAUAGAAAGUAUGGAAAGAUUAGAUGGAAUCCUUUUGGCAGACAGAUUUAACUUAAUCCCAGUACUCUCUCCUACUCAUGCACAUUUAUUUGUUUUCAUAUGUUUCAACUGAUUUCCAUUCAAGUUUUAAUAUAUUGUUAUCCUUUUGGUAUGAUUUACAAAAAAGAGAAAUUAUAGCAACAAUAUAAAUGUAAAGAACAAUCACAAAAAUUAAUCUGAGGGCUAUGCAAUUAUCACUAUCAAGGUUGGAACUGGUAGUAAUGAUGAAGAGAAAAUGCACCAUCCUCUUUCAAAAAGAUAAAAUUCCAUGAGGAUGAAUAUAAACAUAAAAGCUAAAUGUAAAUUUGGGUUCACAAAUACAGAAUGGGGAAGAGAUGGUUAGACAACAGUUAUGAAAAAGAUUUUGGCAUUUUACUGGACUGCAAAUCUUAAUGAACCAGCAGUUUGAUAUGGUAGCCAAAAAGGCAAAUGUAAUCUUGCACAUUAAAAAAAAAAAAAAAAAAAAAAAAAAAAAAGAAGCCUAGUGUCAGGAAUAAUGAGAUAUCUUUAUAUUCUACCCUUGUCUUCUCAUUUGGAUUAGUAGGUUCAGAUGUAAGUAGUACAGCUUAAGACUGAUAAACUGGAGAGCUCUCAGAACAGAGUUACCAAAAUAAUAAAGGGUGGAGUCCAUUCUAUAUGAGAAUCUGUUAAGCAAACUAGGAAUAGCCUGUGGAAAGAGAAAACUCAGGGAGUAUAUAAGAGUUGUGUUCAAAUAUUUGAAGGACAUCACUUGUAGGAAUUAAGUCUGACCUCAGAGGGCAUAAUUAGGAACAAUAAUUGAAGAGACAAAUUUAGGUCUGUCAUAAGGAAAAAUUUCUAGACAAUGUUAUCCAAAAGUGGAAAAGACUAGACUUCCAGGAGAAGAUGGGACCACUUGACUGAUAUUUUCUAGUUCAUAUUUUUUCCAAAUAUAGUGUAACUUUCAACUCUCAAAUUCUAUGAUUCAGAUCCUUGCUGAGGUGAAAGACUAUAGAUUAAUACAUAGUCUUUCAAUUUUAGUUUAUUUUUUUUUAAAGUUUUCUCCUUUUUAAAUCUUUGUUACAAAAGAUUUAUCACUGGGAAGGGAGGAACAGAGGUCUAUUUGGAAAUGAAGACGAAGAAACAAAAGACAGCAAUAACUUUUAAAAACUAUGUAAAUAUUUUCAAGAAAUAAAUGAACUUGGGAAAUUUAUUUGCUAAUUAUCUUUACAGAUAACAGAAAUACUAUAUAUAUAAAAUACCAAGGAUUUUUGCACAAUUUAACUGUUAGAUGACUAUGAAGUAUCUUUGGGGGGGAGGGGGGGAGCUGAGGCAAUUGGGGUUAAAUGACUUGCCCAGGGUCACACAAUUAGGAAGUACUAAGUAUCUGAGGUUGAUUUGAACUCAGUCCUCCUAACUUCAUGGCUAGUGCUCUAUCUACUGCGCCACCUAGCUGUGCCACCUAGCUGCCCCACCCAUAAAGUAUCUUAAAGACAAAAUGCUAAGAAAAAUAAGAGCUUAUUAUUAUUGUUGCUGUUACUCUGAAGUUUUAAAAGUUGAAGUCCUAUAACUGUUUUGCCCUAUACACAGUACUGUGCCAGUCAAUAUAUAAGAUGAACAUAAAACCAGUUCUUUAUAACUAUAUUGCUUCUUUGCACUAAUUAGCAGAAGAUCCUAUGGAAAGGGCAAAGUUCCAUAUGAAAAAUGUAGCAAAACACAAUUUAAAUUUAAUGUAAAGCUAUCAAUCCACAGAAUGGAUAGGAAAAUAAAAUUUGCAUUUAAUAAUAAUAAGAGCUCAGUUAUAUAGAACGUAUGUGCCAAGCACUAUGCAAAAAUGAGAUACUGAACAAGCUAAUAUUUGAAGCCAUUGCUUCUUACUUUCUCUAUUCCCUUUUCCUUUUUCACUCCUCUCCCCAAACUAAUAAGAGGAGGUAAAAUAGUUUUUAAAAUUGUUAUUUGUUAAAUUUCUUGGAAAUUAAAUGAAUUUAGAAUUCUGAUUUAUCCAUGAUAAUGCAAAGAUUACUAAAUUGGGAGUCACAAAACUUCUGUGUUGGUCCUGAUUCUAACAUUAAGUUCUUAGCCUUGGGACAAACUAUUUCAGUAUUUCUCAUUUGUUUUUUAAAAAUGAGUUGUACCAGGUAAAAAAUAUCUUUCAAUUUUGUUAUUUGUUUCAUAACCAAAUGCACAAGAUUUUUAAAAGACAUUACAACUCUACACAAUUAUUCUCUUAAGCAUGUCUUAACAAAAAUAAAGGCAGUAUUCAACUAACAAAAAUCACUACAUCACUACCCUCUCAACCUUCUUAAUUCUCUCAAAACUCCCCUAAAAUUGUGUUCUUUAGACUACUUUAAAUGCCACCAUUUGGAGAUUUAUUUAAAUUAACAAGUCUCCUUGACAAUGCUUGCUCAGUAAGGGCAGGAACUGUUGUAGCUUUUUUUUUAAACAUCCCAAGAAUUAGCACCUUACCAGAAAACUUGGUUCAUAAUAACAAUUUAAUAAAAGUUUUUGUUGAUUGAUUGAUUUUUGAGGAUUGGUUCAAACAGAUUUUUUUUCCUAAUAUCUAAGUCAGUUGAUAGAAUUUGAAGUUAUGAAGAAGAGGGGAGAUUAGAAAAAGGCAGGACCUUCAUUUUCCUUCUUCUAUAAGGAGAUUAAAAAAAAGAUAAGUUAAUUUUCAAGAAUGGAAUAUUUGCAGUAAGGCAGCACAAAUAAAUGUUGAUUUUUUUUUUCCCUAGUGCAAUUUUUUAAAAUAAUUGAAUAUUUUUAUUUUACCCAGUUACAAAUAACACAAAAUUUUUUAACAUCUGUUCUUAAAAUUUUGAAUUCCAAAUUCUCCUUCUUCCCUAUACCUCCCCCUCCUGAGAAGACCCAUGUGAAAUUGUGCAAAACAUUUCCAUAAAAGUCAUGUUGAAAAAAAAAAAAAAAUAGAGAUUUCCCUCCCCGUUAAAAAAAUAAAAAACAAAAAACCCUCAAGAAAAUUUUUUUUUAAUUGCUUCACUGACUCUACAAAGUUGUAUAGAUGGAACUAUCCUGUACUAACACCCACAGUUACUUUACACAAUUUGGAAGUUGUAGAUGUCAACAGCCUAAGGUAUAUUGGAUAAACAGGAUGGUCACAACUAACCCAAGUUAGCAUACUUUGUUUUGGGUCCUUAUCAAGUCCCAACUCUCCCCUUGUUAAUCGCCCUCCUUGUGGUAUUAAAAAAAAAACUUUGCCCCUUGACCUGGAAAAAACAAAUAAAUAAAUUGCUUCAGUCAGUAUUCAAAUACAAUCAGUUCUUUCUCUGUGUAUGGAUAGCACUUUUUUUGUUUCUUUUAUUUAUUUUAAAGCUUUUUUUUCCCCCCUGAGGCAAUUGGGAUUAAAUGACUUGCCCAGGGUCACACAGCUAGGAAGUGCUAAAUGUUGGGUGUCAGAUUUGAACUCAGGUCCUCCUGACUUCAGGACAGGACUGUAUCACCUAGCUGCCCCAAGCUUUUUAUUUUUAAAAUAUAUGCAAGGAUGAUUUUUCAACAUUGACCGCUGCAUAGCCUUGUAUUUGAGAUUUUCCUCUCCUUCCUCCCACCUCCACCCAAGAUGGCAAGCAAUCCAAUAUGUUAUACAUGCUAAAAUGUUAAAUCCAAUAUAUAUAGACAUAUUUAUACAAUUCUCUUACUGCACAAGAAAAAUCAGAUCAAAAAGGAAAAGUAAAUGAUUAAGAAAACAAAAUGCAAGCAAACAACAAAAAAAGAGUGAUAAUUUUAUGUUGUGAUCCACACUUGGUUGCCACAGUCCAGUCCUCUCUCUGGAUGUAGAUGGCUCUCUUCCUCACAACAUCAUUGGAACUGAUAUCAAUCAUCUCAUUGUUGGAAAGAGUCACGUUCAUCAGAACUGAUCAUUGCAUAAUCUUGUUGUUGUUGUGUGCAAUGAUCUGGUUCUGCUCAUUUCACUCAGCAUCUGUUCAUAUAAGUCUCUCCAGGCCACUGAAUUCAUCCUGCUGAUUAUUUCUUAGGGAACAAUAAUAUUCCAUGACAUUCAUAUACCAUAAUCCAUUCAGCCAUUCUCCAAUUGAUCAGCAUCCAUUCAGUUUCCAGUUUCUAGCCUCUACAAAAAGGGCAGCCACAAACAUUUUUGCACAUAUGGAUCCCUUUCCUUCCUUUAAGAAACACUGCUGGAUCAAAGGGUAUGCACAGUUUGAUAACCUUUUGAACAAAGUUCCAAAUUGCUCUCCAGAAUGGCUGGAUGUAUUCACAACUCCACCAACAAUGUAUUAGUGUCCCAGUUUUCCUACAUACCCUCCAAUAUUUGUCAUCUUUUCCUGAGAUCUUGGCCAAUCUGAGAAGUAUGUAGUGGUAUCUCAGAGUUGUCUUAAUUUGCAUUUCUCUGAUCAAUAGUGAUUUAGAGCACUUUUUCAUGACUAGAACUGGUUUUAAUGUCUUCAUCUGAAAAUUGUCUGAUGGUUAGGUAAUCCUAGCUCCAAUGCUCUCCAGAAUAUCAUAUUCUAUGUCCUCCUUUGAUCUGGGAGUUUUAGAAAUUAGCUAUAAUAUUCCUAAGAGUUUUCAUCUUGGGAUCUCUUUCAGGAGAUGAUCAGUGGAUUCUUUCCAUUUCUAUUUUGGUUCCAGAAUAUCAGGAGUUUUUCUUAAUAAUAUCUCAAAAGAUGAUGUCUUAUCUUUUUUUAAUCAUGGCUUUCAGGUAGACCAAUAAUUUUUAUAUUAUCUCUCCUGGAUCUAUUUCCUUAGUUUUUUUCUAAUGAGAUAGUUCACUUUUUUUUUUUUUACUCUUUUGGAUUUGUUUUAUAUGGUCAACCCUAGGACAUAGAAAGUAGAAAAAAGCAACAGAACCUGAGAGAUCCAAUGUAUGAUACUAUAUAUAAAUCUGGGGCUCUGACACAGUAUGACAGUAGGCAAGUCAUCUUCAGUUUUUUUGUAAAACGAAGAUAGUAACAGCACUAUUAAAGAUAAUGGAAAAUGUUUUAAGUGAUAGGAUAAUGAAUACAUAUAUACAGAAGGAAGUGAUCUCCAAGAAUCAGAAUGGGUUCAUUAUGAACAAGCCAUGAUAGGUUACUGUCAUUUUUUUGUUUGUUUGAACAACUAGAAAAUAGGUAUAUCCAGGGAAAGCUAUGAAUGUAGCAUUAUCAAAUAUACUCACUGCUUAUCACAAUGUCUGGCAAAUACUAAGCUCUUAAUAAGAGCCAGUUGAUUGACUGAUCUAAAUUUUAUCAAAAUUUUUUGACAGUAUUCCCAUGAUGCCUUUUUGGGGAUAUAUAGAAAUGUGACUAGUGAUAAAAUUAGAUGACUAUAAAAUCAAAUGAUUAAUACACAUGCUUUGCUU